AUGUUCGGGUAAUCGCUGCACGGAUCACACCGUGUAGAGGAAAGUCCAUGCUCACACAGACUGAGAUGUUUGUAGUGUUCGUGCUUGACGAAAUCAUAAGUCAAGGUAACCAUUAUUGGUUAACGGCAGGGAAGAUGCCUACGUCUUUUAGAUAGGGCAUCCUAACCUUGAAAGUGCCACAGUGACGUAGUCAAGUAGGAAACUACUUGAGUGGAACGAGGUAAACCCCACGAGUGAGCAACCCAAAUAUUGGUAGGGGCACCCUUGAUGAAGGAAUACAACUUUAAGAGGGACAAGCUAAAUCGGCUUGUAGAUAGAUGAUUACUACUAACGUACGAGGCUGACCACCGUUUGCAGUACUACAGUACAAAACAUGGCUUACAGAA
Molecule: RNase P RNA, 386 nt
Filed under: Terrihalobacillus insolitus
Lineage: Bacteria; Bacillati; Bacillota; Bacilli; Caryophanales; Bacillaceae
Description: RNase P RNA component class B
Rfam family: Bacterial RNase P class B
About the family: Ribonuclease P (RNase P) is a ubiquitous endoribonuclease, found in archaea, bacteria and eukarya as well as chloroplasts and mitochondria. Its best characterised activity is the generation of mature 5'-ends of tRNAs by cleaving the 5'-leader elements of precursor-tRNAs. Cellular RNase Ps are ribonucleoproteins.
Source: RNAcentral